Salvia splendens (bonfire salvia) is the source of this 988-nucleotide long non-coding RNA. RefSeq lists it as uncharacterized. The record is from RefSeq and is a predicted model, not a curated record. NCBI's taxonomy places the organism in Eukaryota, Viridiplantae, Streptophyta, Magnoliopsida, Lamiales, Lamiaceae. The transcript has 2 exons.
CCGCCCCGACCAACAGCCUUUUUGGGUCCCAAACGAUUAAAUCACCUUCACAAAGAUCACCACACACUUUGAUAGAGAUUAGGUGAGUGAUUAUCAAGGGAGCACGAGAAGUACUCGAUGAGAUAUGUGGAGGUAGAAUUUCCCGAUAUGAUGUGAAAGAGAAAGGCUCGGCUAUUAUUCAAUAGUUAUGAAAAAUGAACACAAAGAGGAAUCCUCGAAGAGGCCUACGAUACUACGAUCGUCCAAUACCAAAUUCCCAACGUGAUUUUCACCAUUGUGGAGAUUCAAUAUAUAGACUUACAAUGAGAAAAUUCAGCAACAACUAACAAACUAAAUUCAAAUUCAAAUUACAACUAAAGAAGCUGCAACAAACUAACUACCAGCCGAGAUAUUUGCGCCUCCCUUUUGACCACGCCUACUCCUCCUCUGUUUCCUCCGAAAUCGCUGGCCAAGUGACUUGGCGGUUCCCCCGUUUGUAGACCCUCCAAACCGUAUCACACUUGCUGCUCACCGCACUCAGAAUCCCCCUCUUUCAAUUCCUCAAUAUACAUCUCAGUUUACAAACUCAACAAUCCAAAUUCAACCCCAACCAAGAGACAAAUCAAGAAAAGAAACACUCUGCACAAUACCAAUUAAACACAACAGCAACAGAACCGUCGAGAAAUUCACAUAAAAAAUCAGACUUCUCACGAAAUGAUCAAAACCCCAAAUAAGCCCCACACCAAAACCUAAUUCGAAAAUCAACAAAACCACUAUAAAUUAUUAUUUAUAAAAAAGAAGAAAAACACACCAGCCCUUCACCUCGAACAUCAACAACAGCAACAACAACAAAAUCUCCUAUUUCCCUUAAUCCUACACCAACUCUGAUAAUCCCGAGAAAUAGAAUGGAAAUCGGGGUAAAAAAUGGGCAUGUUCAAACAACUAAGACACGAAAACUAAACCCCGAAAAAGAUCGAAUUAGAUGAAAUUGCUCGAAGAUGAAGAAAAG